This 253-nucleotide non-coding RNA is filed under the name Paenibacillus sp. RNAcentral describes it as "T-box sequence". It matches the Rfam family "T-box leader". From Rfam's summary of the family: Uncharged tRNA acts as the effector for transcription antitermination of genes in the T-box leader family. T-boxes are found upstream of many aminoacyl-tRNA synthetase genes and some amino acid biosynthetic genes usually in Gram-positive bacteria. Lineage: Bacteria; Bacillati; Bacillota; Bacilli; Caryophanales; Paenibacillaceae. The record is from RNAcentral.
AUAACAUCGAGGAACGGGACAGUAGCAGGAUGAUGCACAUGAGCAGCGAGCCGGGUUGGUGAAAGCCGGCGAUGGCGCAUUUUGCGAAGAGGACCCGGGAGAUGGCUUGCCGAACCGAUUUUCGUUAUACAGUAGGCCUGCCCGGUUCAGUACCGUUACAACGGCGAGAUGCUUAUAGCAGCGCGUUUAUUUGUACUUCCGCCUGCCAAUAAGCAACAAGAGUGGCACCGCGGGAUUAACCCCCGUCUCUUAC